AUUGAACGCUGGCGGGAGGCCUUACACAUGCAAGUCGAACGGAGUGGCGAACGGGUGAGUAAUGCAUAGGAACGUGCCCGGUAGCGGGGGAUAACUCCCGGAAAGGGGCGCUAAUACCGCAUACUAUUAGAGGAGCAGAGGUCGGAUUAGAUAGUUGGUGGGGUAAAGGCGUACCAAGGCGACGAUCCGUAACUGGUUUGAGAGGAUGAGCAGCCACACUGGAACUGCGACACGGUCCAGACUCCUACGGGGGGCAGCCGUGGGGAAUAUUGGACAAUGGGCGCAAGCCUGAUCCAGCCAUGCCGCGUGUGUGAAGAAGGUCUUCUGAUUGUAAAGCACUUUAAGUUAGGAGGCGUUACCAACAGAAUAAGCACCGGCUAACUCCGUGCCAGCAGCCGCGGAAAUAC
RNAcentral lists this ribosomal RNA (407 nucleotides) under uncultured bacterium. RNAcentral's name for it is "partial 16S ribosomal RNA". It matches the Rfam family "Bacterial small subunit ribosomal RNA", at positions 30 to 526 of the family's 1533-position model. The record is from RNAcentral.